This 2395-nucleotide long non-coding RNA is filed under the name Homo sapiens (human). RNAcentral describes it as "HSALNT0105375". Lineage: Eukaryota; Metazoa; Chordata; Mammalia; Primates; Hominidae. The record is from RNAcentral.
GGGUUUUUCUUUUUUGGUUACUGCUAUAUCCCAAGCACCUGGAAUAGUGCCUAGCACAUAAAUGAUGUUCAAUAAGUGAAUGAAUUAACUAAGUGCCAAGAGGCAAGGAUGGCAGAGCUCUCCCAGGCCGGGCUGGGGCAGUAACUGGGAAGCCCCUAUUCCCUGAGGCACUGAUCUCCUUUCAGCCUCUCCAGUACACUGCCCUCUCCCAUCUUCCUGCAGGCUGUUUCCUCCAGCCCUGUCCCAUCCUCCCAUUCUUCAGGUCUCAGCUUCAGUGUCAUUUCCUCAGAGAAGUCUCCCAGACAGCCUUGGACUAAGUUAAGGUCUCCUACUCCAUGCUCCCCAAAGCAGCUUUACUGCCACUUGUAAGGAGUCCAGACACUUAGAGGUGUUAGUUGCUCACAAACUGAGCACCAGGCUUAUCUGCUCUUGAUUGCCUCAUCUGGACGGCUGUGGAUUAAAUGAGGUGAUUCAUAUAAAUAAAUUGUUGAAUAGGAAUUGGCCAAUAAUGGUCAGGCAAUAUUGCCACAAUUACAGUGGAUACUCAGACAUUUGUUGUUUGUGACAGAAGGGCAGCACACCAGAAAUCAUGGUUAAGCCAAAAAAUCACAGCCUGAAUCAACCCUGGGAAAUGCUGGGGAACCACUGCCCACAUUUUAAACAAUACUGUUCCCGGUGACUUUGGCUCCUUCAAGUCCUAGUGGGCCUGGCCAACACACCCCUGGCUAACGUCCCACAGCCUGGGUGGAUUCUGCGGGGUGGGGUGGGGGUUGGACCUCCCAUGUGUUUGGAGGACCAGCAGCAUCCAUGGGAGCUUGCUAGAAAUGCAGCAUCUUGCUCCCUUCCCUAAGACCUGUUAAAUCAGAAUCCACAUUUUCACACAUUCAAGAUUGGAAAGCAUUUCCCCAGAUCACAGUGUCUCAGAACUAAGGGCUAAAAAGGAUAUAUAUAUGUAUGUAUUUUUUAAGUUUCAGGUUCUGGUUUCUAUACUAAUACAUCUUCAGUCAGUCAUGCUCACUGGCCAGAAUCCAUUCUCUGAACACCCUUGACCACCAAACUCACAUAUAUUCUUUCCUAUCUCUAAGCAGUCUUGCCUGUUCCUUCCCCAUUUCCAAAAUCUGGGGCUGCCAUGAGUGCCCUCAGUGCCUGUUCUCUUGGCAAUCAGACAGGGCUGGGCACCAGGUGAUGUCGGGGAAAUGGUUGGGUCACAGCAAGCAGGUGGCCUUCUCAGGAACCUGCGUGAGAAGGGCCUGAGGGAGAGGCCUUCUCAGGAACAGGGUGGGAAGCACCCAGACACAACCUGAGCUGAGGCACAGAGGAGACUUGAGAGUGCCUGUUUGCUCUGCCAGAAGGGUUGGGCCCAGACCACUGCAAUUGCUUCCCUGCCAUCUCCCAAACUCAGCUGAGAGCCCCCUCCCUGUCACCCAGCCCCCGUGGGAAUGGCUCAGGCCAGGAGCUACCAUCAAACUAGCUCCUUUCUCCCAGGGCCUGGUGACUCCUUGACAGGUUACAGCCCCAAAGACAAACAGAUUCUGCCAAGCAAAUAACUGUUCAGCAGUGGGGGUGUUGGGGAAGGCCUAGGAGUGGGUCUGAAGCUGCCAGAAGAAGACCCAGGUGAAGUGGGGGGUGGGCUCCCCUGCAGAGAACAAACAGCUGUGGGCACCUGGAAAGAAGCACGAUGCAGGUACACUGUCACGGGUGAGGGCACUCACCCCAGGGGUCUGUGGGCCAGUCUCCCAGGCUCUUUCACUCUGGGCUCUGUAUCAGGCUGCUCCCUGAGAAAGAAGAGUCUUGCAUGCAGGCCCUUGGGGGCAGGGAACCAAACAAUGCUUGCUGGCUGAUCAGCUAACUUGGCUGAUUUUCUUUGUGCUGGAGAUACAGGUCAUUUGGAGGCAGUUUCCUUACCUUCCUGGUCACUGGGCACCAGAAAGGGCAGGAGACCCCAUUAUAAACCCAGGACUAAUUUCCCAAACAUAUAAUGAACCUCAGGGUCUCAGUUUUCCCAUCUGCAAAAGGGAAAGGCCCAGAGACCAAACAGUACACAUCACAGAGCCAUUAUGGGGCCACACAAGUUUACAGGAGGCUUGAGGGUGCAAUAAAACUCACCAACACACAUGAAAACAGCUUUUUUUGGUGUGUGUGUUAAUUUAAUCAUACAAAUAUUCAUUUAUACAAUAAGGAAAAACCUCCUCAUCUUUAUCUCCUCCUAGGCACCAUGAGGCCCCACCACAAACAUCCAGCUGGCUUUCUACACACACCACUGUCCAGGUGGGAAGGGCAGCCACUGCUGCUCCUGCAUUCACCCAAGGAAACAAAGGAAAGGUGCGGCGAGGCAGGGUGGGGUUCUCUCCAGGCUGGAAGUAACUUUGAUGGGCUUAAGGUUACAGCCAGUCCU